UGGGGAAUCUUCCGCAAUGGACGAAAGUCUGACGGAGCAACGCCGCGUGAGUGAAGACGGCCUUCGGGUUGUAAAGCUCUGUUAUUCGGGAAGAACGAUUCGUUUGUGAACAAUGAACGGAAGUGACGGUACCGAAAGAGAAAGCCACGGCUAACUACGUGACAGCAGCCGCGGUAAUACGUAGGUGGCAAGCGUUGUCCGGAAUUAUUGGGCGUAAAGAGCGCGUAGGCGGUAUGGUAAGUCUGUCUUAGAAGUGCGGGGCUUAACCCCGUGAGGGGACAGAGACUGUCAUACUGGAGUCUCGGAGAGGAAAGCGGAAUUCCUAGUGUAGCGGUGAAAUGCGUAGAGAUUAGGAAGAACACCGGUGGCGAAGGCGGCUUUCUGGACGAGCACUGACGCUGAGGCGCGAAAGCGUGGGGAGCGAACAGG
RNAcentral lists this ribosomal RNA (429 nucleotides) under Fusobacteriota bacterium. RNAcentral describes it as "Fusobacteria bacterium partial 16S ribosomal RNA". It matches the Rfam family "Bacterial small subunit ribosomal RNA", at positions 355 to 776 of the family's 1533-position model. Lineage: Bacteria; Fusobacteriati; Fusobacteriota. The record is from RNAcentral.